AGCCAGGGCUACACAGAGAAACUUCGUCUCGCAAAACCAAAACCAAAACCACCACCAACAACAAAAAACAAAAGUCCAAAAAACCAAAAAACCUACAAAGGCAAAAGAGGUUUGAGAGCCGUGGUUGUUUAGGACAGUUGUGGUUUGUAGCAGGAAAGGACACUCCUGAUGUUGGGAAUUUGCAAGAAGAAUCUGGGCUGAGCUGCUUCAAACAAGGAGGCUUUGCUCUGGAGUGAGGAGGGAGUGACCCCUCAGCCUGUGUAGGGUCCAGUUUUAUGCUCUCGGAAGGCUCAGCAGUGAUUGCUGCCGAGUGGGAAGUAGCUUCUCCCAGCUGUUCCUCACCUCACCAGAUAUUUUCCCAAAGCCGAAACAAGAAAAGUCAGCAUGCCUGGGGCUAGAAGCGGAAUGUAAGAUACGUCUCUAUGCCAAAUGGAGUUGUAGAAUGUACCCUCUCAGCCCAUAAACAGGAGGAAACCAUAUGUGAACACUACAGCCUCUGGCGAGGGCUCUGUGGAGAUUUUAAUUUUAGAAGGGGGCAUGAUGGCAGUGUUUCUCUUUUAGGACAACACCCACGGAACACUCAAAGGCUGUGUGACUUGUCCUGUCCUGUGGCACCGAAGCCCUAGGUAGCUGGCUGUUUUGAUGAGGUCAUUUGAAUCAUGGGAGUGUCCUUACACUACACUAUCCUGAGCUGGUUGGGGUGGGUAGAAGAAGGCAAGGACUGCCUGAGAGGCUGCGUUGACCCUACUGAUGUGGGUCUUGGGAUGGGCUGGAACAGGGUUCCUGCCUGAGUAGGUGGAACUGGCAACCUUGAAGGGUGAUUCCCCCCCACCCCCAGAGGAUCAGCUGCCUGUGGUUGGGACAGGGCACACCACCUUCCCUCAGACGGUCUUGCUAAGUAUAUGACUGGGAGAGUUUGGUCAUUUUUGUGUACCCUAUGGUGGGAAUGUGGGGUUGCCUUUCAAAAGCCUUCAGGAUGGCAACAGAUUGGAUGUGCUAUCUCAGUGCCUGCAGGUCUCUCUGCUCGAGGCAGCAGGGGGCGCUUUGCAGUAUAGUUGAGGAAAAUGACCGCUCCUUGACCAAACUGAGAUGCACUUGGUGUGUGGGAACUGAUUGCUUCCUCCCUGUUUAUAAUUCAGUGAAUAAUCACGGGCCCAAUAUUUUACUAACCCACUCUGUAGGUUGUCAGUGUUCCAUUUUGAAAGUGUCCCCGUGGUUGCACACUUCAGAGGACAGGGACUCUGUGUGUCUAAGAAGGCUGGGAUGAGGGCUCUGUUACAGGGCAGACUGUUCUCUCAUAGUCUUAUCUGUUUGAAUAUUCCUGGGUAUGACUUUAUGUGUGGCAAAAACCCACAUUACCAAAGUAGUUUUUAACUACUGUAAUUUGUAAAUAAGUGUUGUGGCAGGUGGGAACCUUUAAAAGAUCAGUAAGAUGUUUCUCAUAUUUAUGAACUUAGCACUUGAAAACCAACACACUCAGAAAAAGCCACAGAUUGUUAAAAGCCUAAUUGUAGUUCGUAACAAUUUGUCAGUACGUACUAAUUGCCUUAUUCUUCAGCUAGUGGUUUAUAAAGAGGCUGCAUAGAAAGUUUUACACAUGGAAGCAGCUGAUGUAGAGACUUCAUAUAGGCAGCUGCAGUCCUAAAGUCUCAAGCUAGAGGGUGGGGGCCACGGAAGGAAGGCAGCCUUUCAGGUAGCAAGAUUAAAUAUUGCUGUUGCCAAAUAGUAUUUGAAAUAAUACCAGAAAACGGGGACCACAGUACUGUUCGAUGUUUUCAAGUGAGAAAGAGGAAUGUAGUAUGCUUUGGCAUAGUUUGGGAGUGGAGAAUACAGACAUUAUCAGCAGUGACAAAUCACAUAGCUUCAAAAACUCCUCCAGUUUGUGACAACAUGACAGGUGUGACAGCAUGACAGGUUUGCUCUGCUUCUGCAGAGUGGGCCCCAGAGGUCACUUAGGACUGAGAUGCUCCAAAGUUUGAAGUGCCAAAUAACAUGAAACGUGCUCUGUCGACUCAAUAUUAAAGCCAGGGUGAAGAGUUGCAAACCCCUCUGUCCCUGCAGUACUGCCUGAGUGUGUGGUGAUUCUGGGCUCUCCACAACCAGCUCAAAGCAGCUAGCACCCGUGCUCACUGUUGUUGGACGGGCUGGUCCACAGCCUCAGACCCACGCUCUGCCGAGAUACUGGACGGGAGGAAGGAUUUUUCCUAGACUGCGGAUUGGCGUGACAAAGCAAUGGCUGUGUCAGCUGGGCCUUCAUCCAGGAACAGACCAACAUAAACCAGCAUCUUCUACCAGUUAGCACUGUCCUCCUGGACCAUGCUGAGGGUUGGGCCUCUCCCUCAGAGUCCUUUCUCACUGUAGUUCUGUGUGCCUGUUCCCUUCAUGCCUGAGUCAGGAAUACAUGGAGAGACAGCCUACAUCUGACAGACUCCCACAAAACAAACUGCCAGCAAACUUUCUAACUCAUUUUAACCGUUCAAGCGGGGAAUUAAAACAAACUUUUGGACUAUUUUUUUUUAAUUGUUCUUUAUGUUUAAAACUUGCAGAGAUAGAAGCAGGCUUCUGAGGUACGGGGUCUUGCUGUGUGCUCUCUCUCCGUGCUGCCGUUAAGCCAAAACAAAAGCUGUGAACAUAGGUGCUUGAGAGAAUGCGUGUUGACAGGAAAGUGACUGAUUUACAGACCCAAGUCUUUGUCUCAUGAAACUACC
This 2708-nucleotide long non-coding RNA is filed under the name Mus musculus (house mouse). RNAcentral describes it as "long non-coding RNA chr4:59901718-59904426". Lineage: Eukaryota; Metazoa; Chordata; Mammalia; Rodentia; Muridae. The record is from RNAcentral.